AGCAUGUCAAAUAGGAUUUGCCCUUGCUAACGCUCGCGCGCGUCAAGAAGACGAGCAUUCAGGAAUGGCCCGGCGCAUUGCCUGGCGUCACAGCGAGCCAGUACUAAAAUUCACAAAAAACCACCCUGUAUCAAGGAGUCAAACUACCACGUAACACAUGUGGUAAGCAAUCCAAACUAUUCAAAAAAAAAAAUCAAGGAGUCGAACUGUAUAGCGAAGUUGCAGCAGUUUGACGCACGCGGGCGUCAAAUAGGGUUCGCCCUGUAUCGGUGCUGUCAAAAAAAGAGGUGGUACUAGAGUAUAUCGAAGUCCCCGUCUCGGGCCUUUCGGUUAUCCCCGGCUCACAAGACGCCGUGGCCGGAUUGCCAUAUACUCUCCCCACCCCACCAUAGUCGUCGAUCAGGUCCUAUUCGUGCUUGAUUUGAUUUGGGUUCUGCUAGACAGACGCCAUAUCCCCGGCUCACAAGUCUCCUAUACAUAAAUCCAGUGGGGAGAGAAGGCUCUUCUUAACCGUACAAGAUUAGGGUUAAGAAAGGCUCUGGAUUCCUCUUCGGAAUAGAACCCGAUCUCGCCGCCGUCCCAACAUAAAUCCAGUCUUCCUGUAGACUCUCAGUUUGCGGUUUAUAUAUCUGUAGUACAGCCAAUGUCUCCUCUUCUGUUUUGUAGUUCGUUAUUAUAUAUCCGACCCCUUCCCUUGCGACUAAAUUGCAGCGAUGGGAUCCGCCGUCUCUUCCGCCAUAGCCGACGCAGCAGUGGAGUUUUUACACCUUGACGGGCAGAUCGUGGACGAGGACGAUCCCCACGGGCUGCCCCUCGACCAGCAACAACGCCAUGUCCAACGCUUCAUGGACAGGUUGGAGCGCAAGCGUCGCCGCAACCUUGUCUUGUACGGCCCCCGCUCAGAAGUGUGCUGCUCCCUCCUAUACAUCAUCCCACGCAGAUUGGCUUCAUCCGCCAGCUAGCUGUUCCAUUAUUGAUAGGAGCGCAACAAAGCCAUCGUUCUCCCACAUGUCCAGAUCGCCCUUCGCCACUACAAUUCGAACAACCCGGGUGCAGAGUUCAGGGUGCAGAGCUUGUCAGUCCUAUGUCGUGCAACCGUGUCGGAUUCAGGGACGAGAUUUGGUUUCACUUCAACUUUUUAGCUCGCCGGUGCCUCAAAAAGCACAACUUCUGCGCUCGCGGUAGGGUUGCUCCAGAACCAGAUACCUCUGACCAGUAUUUCUUCGCUGAGCUACACUAUGACCGCUUCGGCAAACCAGUUGUCGAAACGUGCACUAUAUUGGAAAAACCGAUUUGCCAAUUUAAAGGAAAGUGUGCCUUUUGCAAGGGCUCAGUUGGGAUUUGGCACCCUAGGAACGGAGGAUUUUUGUGUGGAAGGGAGGGACAGAAAAAGGAGUAUUGUCAGAUGUUUAUGUUGAGUGAAAGGCCCAAGAAAGGACCAGAGGAGGAACCUUCUUCAGUUCCAAGGCUAUUUGAUGAGUUGCCACUAGCUGCCUAGCUAGCCGUGGGUUUGGAUUCAUAGAUUAGCUAAUGUACAACAAGCUGGCACUGUUUGCUUGUAUAUCAAAAUGUAUUAGUUAGAGAAUACAUUAAAUGUGAAUAAUUGACUGUAUAAAGA
Molecule: RNA transcript, 1618 nt
Organism: Triticum aestivum (bread wheat)
Lineage: Eukaryota; Viridiplantae; Streptophyta; Magnoliopsida; Poales; Poaceae
Exons: 4
Source: RefSeq, a predicted model, not a curated record